UCCGGUGACCAUAGGCGAAGUGAAACACCCGUUCCCAUUCCGAAUACGACCGUUAAGCCUUCAGCCGUCGAUGGUAGUGCGACCACGCUGUCGUGUGAGAGUAGAUUGUUGCCGGGA
Molecule: ribosomal RNA, 117 nt
Filed under: Puniceicoccales bacterium
Lineage: Bacteria; Pseudomonadati; Verrucomicrobiota; Opitutia; Puniceicoccales
Source: RNAcentral